AAAGAUUAAGCCAUGCAUGUCUAAGCACAUGCCUUAAUACGGUGAAGCCGCGAAUAGCUCAUUACAACAGCCACCGUUUACUAGAAUAUAGUUAUCCUACUUGGAUAACUGUGGCAAUUCUAGAGCUAAUACAUGCAGAAAAGCUCUGCCCGCAAGGAACGAGCGCAUUUAUUAGAAUAAAAACCAAUCGGGUUUCGGCCCGUAAUUUGGUGAAUCUGAAUAACUUUGCCAAUCGCACAGUCCUAGUACUGGCGAUGUAUCUUUCAAGUGUCUGCCUUAUCAACUUUCGAUGGUAGGUUAUACGCCUACCAUGGUAGUAACGGGUAACGGAGAAUAAGGGUUCGACUCCGGAGAGGGAGCCUGAGAAACGGCUACCACAUCCAAGGAAGGCAGCAGGCGCGCAAAUUACCCACUUCCAGAACGGAGAGGUAGUGACGAAAAAUAACGAGACAGUCCUCUUCGAGGUCUGUCAUCGGAAUGGGUACAAUUUAAAUCCUUUAACGAGGAUCUAUUGGAGGGCAAGUCUGGUGCCAGCAGCCGCGGUAAUUCCAGCUCCAAUAGCGUAUAUUAAAGUUGUUGCGGUUAAAACGCUCGUAGUUGGAUCUGCGGCCUCGGAGAACGGUCCCCCGAAAGGGUGGUCACUGUCUCUCCUAGCCUAAAUUCGAGUCGUCUCUAGGUGCUCUUUACCGAGUGCUUAGAGUGACUAGAACGUUUACUUUGAAAAAAUUAGAGUGCUUAAAGCAGGCGAAAUAGCCUGAAUAAGGUGCAUGGAAUAAUGGAAUAGGACCUCGGUUCUAUUUUGUUGGUUUUCGGAACCCGAGGUAAUGAUUAAGAGGAACGGACGGGGGCAUUCGUAUUCCGGCGCUAGAGGUGAAAUUCUUGGACCGCCGGAAGACGGACGACUGCGAAAGCAUUUGCCAAGAAUG
Molecule: ribosomal RNA, 926 nt
Filed under: Aporcelaimellus cf. paraobtusicaudatus JH-2004
Lineage: Eukaryota; Metazoa; Nematoda; Enoplea; Dorylaimida; Aporcelaimidae
Description: SSU rRNA
Rfam family: Eukaryotic small subunit ribosomal RNA
Source: RNAcentral